CAGUCGCCGCGGGAAUACGUAGGUGGCAAGCGUUGUCCGGAUUUGUUGGGCGUAAAGCGAGCGCAGGCGGUCAAUUAAGUCUGAUGUGAAAGCCCCCGGCUCAACCGGGGAGGGUCAUUGGAAACUGGUUGACUUGAGUGCAGAAGAGGAGAGUGGAAUUCCAUGUGUAGCGGUGAAAUGCGUAGAUAUAUGGAGGAACACCAGUGGCGAAGGCGACUCUCUGGUCUGUAACUGACGCUGAGGCUCGAAAGCGUGGGUAGCAAACAGGAUUAGAUACCCCCGUAGUCCCUGUCUCUUAUAC
This 301-nucleotide ribosomal RNA is filed under the name uncultured bacterium. Its description in RNAcentral is "partial 16S ribosomal RNA". It matches the Rfam family "Bacterial small subunit ribosomal RNA", at positions 509 to 807 of the family's 1533-position model. The record is from RNAcentral.